Molecule: ribosomal RNA, 773 nt
Filed under: uncultured Neocallimastigales
Lineage: Eukaryota; Fungi; Neocallimastigomycota; Neocallimastigomycetes; Neocallimastigales
Description: partial large subunit ribosomal RNA
Rfam family: Eukaryotic large subunit ribosomal RNA
Source: RNAcentral
UCAGACGAUGCGUCAUGCAUAUCAAUAAGCGGAGGAAAAGAAACUAACAAGGAUUCCCUCAGUAACGGCGAGUGAAGCGGGAAGAGCUCAAAUUUGAAAUCUUGAAAGGUCACCUUUCACGAAUUGUAGUUUAAAGAAGUGUUUUCUGUUACGAUCGUAAUAUAAGUUCUUUGGAAUAGGACAUCACAGAGGGUGAGAAUCCCGUCUAUGAUUGCGAUUUGUAGCUUUGUGAUACACUUUCAAAGAGUCGGGUUGUUUGGGAAUGCAGCCCAAAACGGGAGGUAAAUUUCAUUCUAAGGCUAAAUAUUGGCGAGAGACCGAUAGCGAACAAGUACCGUGAGGGAAAGAUGAAAAGAACUUUGAAAAGAGAGUUAAACUAGUACGUGAAAUUGUCAAAAGGGAAGCGUUUAACACCAGUGUUGUUUUCUGAAAAUCAACCUCUGUUAGCUUUAUGCAUGUUUGUUUAGACCUAAUCAGCUAUCUUGCGAUGUUCUAUUGUUUGCAGUGGUGCACUUUUCAGUUUACAGGUCAACAUCAGUUUUUUUUACCGUAAAAAAGUUAAAGAAAGGUAGCUCAUGGCUCCGGUCGUGAGUGUUAUAGUCUUUUUCCUAUGCGGUAGGAGAGACUGAGGUCUGCAGUGUAGGCUAUUUGGCUAGAUACUCAGGUGCUAUGUGAUACCAUUUCAUAAACAACUUGUUGAUUAUGUUUUGUCUAUUGCAUACUCGCUUGUACUAUCAUACCUACGCUUAGGAUGUUGACUGAUAUGUAGUCGA